RNAcentral lists this small RNA (277 nucleotides) under Arabidopsis thaliana (thale cress). RNAcentral describes it as "ATSL225740". The record is from RNAcentral. Lineage: Eukaryota; Viridiplantae; Streptophyta; Magnoliopsida; Brassicales; Brassicaceae.
GUAGCAUCGUCUACACCCAACACAACAUGAUUUGUAUCUAUUCCCACAUUUUAUGUCACUCAUUACAGACCACUGUCGUAAAAAAUAAUAUCUAUUAUCUAGUGUUUUCUGUUUUUGAUAAGUAGAGAAUCAUAAAUUUAAAUUCGUUUUAAUCUCUGGAAUCUACGACUAAUAUGUCAAUUCUGCAUUGAGACUAAAAUGAUGUGUGUAGCAGAAGUUGAACUUGGUUUAAUAUACAUAUUAGUUUACCAUACUAGCUACCAUUAGCAUGUUCAAA